RNAcentral lists this long non-coding RNA (209 nucleotides) under Sorghum bicolor (sorghum). RNAcentral's name for it is "long non-coding RNA (SBIC_LNC002725)". The record is from RNAcentral. Lineage: Eukaryota; Viridiplantae; Streptophyta; Magnoliopsida; Poales; Poaceae.
CCCCACUUAACAUAAAUCUCGUCCCGAGAUUUGGGAGAAACUAGAGAGAAAGAUAAAGUAGAUCAUUAAAGUUGUUUCGAGACUUUCAAGACGUGAUCAAAGGAUUAAAGAUAGACAUAAAGGGUACAGAGUAUGGUAAAGAUUGAUGACAAGGAAAGAUAAACGCAUGAGAUAAGAAUUGAUCUUUGGAUCCUGUAUUAUGAUAAGGU